Molecule: ribosomal RNA, 587 nt
Filed under: uncultured bacterium
Lineage: Bacteria
Description: partial 16S ribosomal RNA
Rfam family: Bacterial small subunit ribosomal RNA
Source: RNAcentral
UGGGGAAUUUUGGACAAUGGGCGAAAGCCUGAUCCAGCAAUGCCGCGUGUGUGAAGAAGGCCUUCGGGUUGUAAAGCACUUUUGUCCGGAAAGAAAUCCUUGGCUCUAAUACAGUCGGGGGAUGACGGUACCGGAAGAAUAAGCACCGGCUAACUACGUGCCAGCAGCCGCGGUAAUACGUAGGGUGCAAGCGUUAAUCGGAAUUACUGGGCGUAAAGCGUGCGCAGGCGGUUUGCUAAGACCGAUGUGAAAUCCCCGGGCUCAACCUGGGAACUGCAUUGGUGACUGGCAGGCUAGAGUNUGGCAGAGGGGGGUAGAAUUCCACGUGUAGCAGUGAAAUGCGUAGAGAUGUGGAGGAAUACCGAUGGCGAAGGCAGCCCCCUGGGCCAAUACUGACGCUCAUGCACGAAAAGCGUGGGGAGCAAACAGGAUUAGAUACCCUGGUAGUCCACGCCCUAAACGAUGUCAACUAGUUGUUGGGGAUUCAUUUUCCUUAGUAACGUAGCUAACGCGUGAAGUUGACCGCCUGGGGAGUACGGUCGCAAGAUUAAAACUCAAAUGAAUUGACGGGGUCAUAGCUGUUUCCU